GCUGGGUGUGGUGGUGCACACCUGUAAUCCCAGCUACUCGGGAGGCUGAGGCAGAAGAAUCGCUUGAACCCGGGAGGCGGAGGGUGCAGUGAGCCGAGAUCACGCCACUGCACUCCAGCCUGGGUGACAAAGCGAGACUCCUCUC
RNAcentral lists this non-coding RNA (145 nucleotides) under Gorilla gorilla gorilla (western lowland gorilla). Lineage: Eukaryota; Metazoa; Chordata; Mammalia; Primates; Hominidae. The record is from Rfam by way of RNAcentral.